CCCCCCGGUCCCGCGGGUGGCAGCGGCCGGGCAGCGGCGGCGGCCGCCGCGGGUGCCUCCUGCCGGCCCGUCGGGGGCUUUUCGCAGAAAAUUUCAGAGGGUGUUCUUCCCCCCUCUCCUUGGGUGGGUAGUGAGGGAAUGCAACGGGUUUGUUCUUAUUUUCAGUUCUGAAGGGUUUGUUAUUUUGAAAACCUGAAGAGCGACCAGCAACCAAGGCAGUGAGAGUGUCGUCUCUCGAUGGAAUUUAGUGUCAGUCUGAAACAAAAAAAAAGUAGUUUGGUUGUUUUUUUGAGGGAAGAGGGGUUGGACAAAACUUCAAACUGAUUCCACAGCCUUGGUUUGACCAGCAGAGCAGGUUCAAAAAUUAAUUCUUGGUGCGUCUUUUCUUUGCAUCGCCGUGAGGCUCCACUUGUAUCUCUCAUCCAGUAAGCUGGAUGCAUUUUAAGAAUAGUUUAAGCCCAAGAGGUAGAAAUACUGGUGCUUCACAGUGUCAGUCUUCUUCCUGACUUUUCCUCCCUUGACUGUGCACGGUUUUGAAGAUCUUCUGUGCCAUUUACUUUGACAAAGGUCAUUGAUUUUUCUGCUGUAAUGGCUCUGUGACAUCUGUAUUGAGAACUAGAAGUACAAGAACUCUAUAAAACUUGGUCCCAGUUAAAAUCCUUGUUGCAAGUGAGUUGUUUCUGUGACUGUAGUGUCCAACAGAAAAAUCUGUGAACACUUCAGUUGUUCAAAGCACAGAUCCCCUUCUCCCUCCAGUCCUUCUCCCAAUAGAGUCAUGCUUAUGCUGUGGCAGGGAUUCCUGCUACUUCUUACCUCCAGUUGCUGACCUAUGACAUAAGCAGGCUGACCUUCUCUGAUGGGAUUACUCCUCUGCUGGGGAGCUGUCUCUGUCCCUCUCAGCCCACUGUCCUAUACCAUUUAGUGGACUACCAUCUCGUUUUAGGAGUCACUUAAUGCUGUAUAUGCUUAUUGGUGUCACAAAAUCAACCGAUUUCUUGUUGGUAUCGUCCCAGACAGCACUCACUUUAGCCUGCACUCAGUAAUGGCUGUUAACUCUUUCAGGUAGGCUAAAAGCAUUUUGCAUCUAUGAAAAUUUCAGUUCUGUAUUUCUGAACAAGCAGAGAAAUUCACAGUAACUUGCAGAGCUGCCAAACCAUGAAAUACAGAGCCCUGGCAAAGAAGAUUCUGAAGAGUUGUUUAUUUUUGGACAUGAAGACACAAUAUAUGAUGAAAUUAUGCUGUCAGAAAUAUUUUUCUAGUUCCCACUAACUUAAGGAAUCAAGCAUAUAGAGUUGAACAGUUAGGUCUGUGAGAGUCUUUUCUCAUCUUCUACGUGCAACUUGCUGGUAUCUGGAAGGACGACCUUGAUUCUGUAUCUGUUACCUACAAUCAGGCUCUCUGGAAGACAAAACUAUAUGGAUUUUUGGCAGUGCAGAGAUUACUAAAUGCAAUUAUGUAUAUUAAAAUACAGCACUGAUGAAAGGUGUAUGGUAUAACCAGGGAUGGUUUUGUGCCACUAUUGGACACGAAAUGAGUACAUAGAAGCUUGGUAAGUUUACAAGAGAAUAAAACUUAGUUUUAUUUAAACAUUUGGUAUUUAUAGAAUUUUAAGAGUGACUGUGGAUUGGAGGAUGAAAUUACUACCUCUCUAACCACACUAGUCCAAAGAUCAAUCAAUCAUUUUUCUCUACUUACAGAGAAAUGUGUAAACUAUUUUAUUUAUACAUUAAAUAGUGUGGGAACUUUUACAUUCUUAAAUAUGUAAACAUUAUCAGAAGACUAAAGAAGUUUUAUGAGAACUUUAAAACUUUCAAAAAAAACUAUAAAAGUUUUAAAAAUCAGGGUAACAGUUUUCAAAAGGUGAUGUGUAUGAUCAUAUAUCCAAGCCCAGAGGCUAGGGAAAGGUCAGUGAAUAUCCAUAGGGAAGCUGGGAAAGCAAGUUUAGAAGGAAGAACAAGAAAUAUGUAUGUUUGUGUAGUAUAGGUGUUCUAGAAAACAUUUUCUGGAUUUGAAACUUUCCUAUUAACAUAUCAGGUUUUCUUCACUCUGUCCAAAAAAAAAAAACCAUGCUGAGGUUCUGGCUUCUAUUGUGUAUUAGUUGUUGGAGACCUCUGAUGGGCAGCUGAAUCCCUCCUCAUCUUUUGUCUGUCUAAAGUGAAAUGCAUUGGUAUUGUCAAACCAAUAACCUGCAUCUCACUUGAUUUGGGUGCCGCAUGAGGUGGGGCACAAAGCUGUCUGUGUUACGAAGAGCACCACAGAGUGCCUUGGGAUGGAGAACAGCAGAAAAGACCUUCAGUUUGCGGAGCUGGCUCAAAGAUUUCUCCAGCACACAGUGGCCUUCAUAGAAGUGGUUUUUAUAUCCGAAUUCUUGUGAUAAAGCGGGGGAAAAAAAUAAAAAGAGAGUGAGACAACUGAUACAAAAUAGCUCUUAUGAAAGGGCCUCUUUUUUAAAAGUGGCUAUCCCACUUCUAAUAUAAUCAUCAGAAGUGACUUGCUGCUGGAGGCUUAGUUCUGUGUAGCAUGUCACUCUUCCUUUCUUUCUGUUGCAUUUUGUAUGACGGAUGUGACUGCUGUCAUCUGAAUUGUUUACUGCAUGAAAGAUAUAUUCCUCCUUGUGCUCAAAUCUCCAGAGCCAUCCCCAGUACAGUGCAAGGUGAUGUAUGUCUUGUCCAGCGUAGGUCACUGUGAGAGACGAGGUAUGAGUCACUUCCCUCGUGGGCAGUGGUGACUAACUGCCCCUCCUGCUGCAGAGCUGGGCACACAGGGAAUCCUCACCUCCAGCUCUCUGAUGACAACACCAUGUAACAGCAGUUUAUUAAGUUGCAAGAUGAAAGACUUUUACAGCUCAUAAAGGAGGAAAGCUUAUAAGGAGACAAAGUUCUAAUUCCAGGACACUGCUGCAUGCAAUUGAAUCAAUGGUGGUCACAGCAGAUUCCUGACACUGUGAGAUGGGAUUCUGCUGUUCUUCCUCUGUGUGGUCUUCAGAUGGGCCUCCAAACUGAGCUGAACUUCUGGAAAGCAAGAAAAGACAACAUUUUAUUUAAAAAUAAACAACAUUGGUAUAAGCCCAAGAUAUUGAUAUUUAUCUGACACCAAUGGAAAAAUACAUUCAGCUCUUUCAGAAGAUGAAAUUCCCAGAGAUUUGUUAAUUAAUCCCACCUUUAUUUUACACCAUCUGCCUGAUAUGGAGCCCCUCUGAGUUCUACAGCAUGCCUGCAUGAGUUGUAGCCACAACCUACUUAUUGCUCAGGUAGCUUCAAGUAAGGGUUCUAAACCACCUAAGUACCUAAUAAAUAAAUGUUACUUGAUACAUGGGACACUAAUAAAAAAGACAUGGACUUAAUCUGUCUUUUAGCUGCCUAAUAAACACCAAAAUUACAUUACAGAUACUAUCAACCAGUUUUAGAUUAUUAAAUUUGAAGAUGAGAUUAAUAAAUAGUUGUCAGAUAGCCAUCAGACAUACAGAUGCUGGGUACUUAAGAACAAAAUAUUCUUCUUGUCUAGAAACAAAUUCUCUAGAAGCCAUAUAACCUUUCCAGGGUGGGUUGCUGCUCCUUACUCUCUUUUGCUGGUAUAAGUCUGGGAAUUUCAAAAUGCUGGUAAGAGCUGCACAAGCCAAGAAAAUAUGGGCUUUGCAAACAAGCUCUGAAUGACCUGCCUUGAGGUGUUUUUUGUGGUCAAUAAGCUUUCUCCAUGCUCCCACUGAAACCAAGUGGACUGCUGGGGGUGUGAGCACUUUUAAAUGUUGGCAAGCAAAGAUGUUCUGUAAGGUUCACUGUUCAGAGUAUUUUGUUGGCCAGGAAGUAGGAGAAUUACACAUUAUAUAUGCAUGUGUGCUAGGUUUGAUUCUGGGGUUGGGGGAGCCCUCUUCUGCAAGUUUACUAAAUGAUAAAAUCUAAGAGAACUGAUAUUGCCAUUUUUGUAUUUCUUGGCACAAUAUAUGCUGCAGGAGAAUUAGUACCCAAAAGCUGUGGCAGUAUUAUGUCAAACAGGUGAAUAAAUUUCCAAUAUCACUUUUACUGAGAGAAAGAAACUCCCUUUACUGUGUUAUUUUCUGAAUGUUCACUGUACAGAAGGUGAUACCUGAGAGUCAGUCUAGCUGGGCAGGUUGAGGAUGCUCUGGGAGCACCUCAAAACUGAGAAUUGCAUUAUGAGAUAAGUGUAAAACUAUAAUCAUUAGAGAUAAAAAUUUUAAAAUAUAAUACAUAUUGGGGUUUGUGUUUAUAUAUAAAUUUAGAAAUAACUUUAUGACUGACAUCAUGACUACAUUUUGAAAAGUAACUUUUAAUUUUUUUAUGUGGUUCAUUUAUUUACAUUAUAGAUUGUAUCUUUCACCAAAAAUCUUUCCAAAGAAGAAACUGAAGAAGCAUUAGAGCAUGUGAAAACAGCUAAAACUACCUCAAAAAGCUUUGAGAAUUUAUUCUUUAAUCACAAAAACACAUUGGAGAGUUACUUCACCUGUGCUAAGGAAGUUAAACCAUGGGAUUUCCCAUCUGAGAUGUUGUCUUCCAGAUUUAAUAUGUUCCCUAGAAACUCACUGAAGAUUGAGGUAUUGCUUAUUAUCUCUGCUUUUGGAUAAAUGCUGUUGAAUAAAUAAGUAUCUGAGAAAUAUGGGCUAUUCUCAGUCAUGCAGACAGCCAGGCUCAGGUUUCUAAUAUCCAGAACACAAAAUCACAGUGCAUAGAGGAGAGUUAAUAGUGUUGAACAGGAUGUCACAUGCUGUGCAAGGGGCAGUCCAGUAAUAGCA
Non-coding RNA from Taeniopygia guttata (zebra finch), 4747 nucleotides. The record is from RefSeq and is a predicted model, not a curated record. Lineage: Eukaryota; Metazoa; Chordata; Aves; Passeriformes; Estrildidae.